GGCAGUCAGAGGCGAUGAAGGACGUGCUAAUCUGCGAUAAGCGUCGGUAAGGUGAUAUGAACCGUUAUAACCGGCGAUUUCCGAAUGGGGAAACCCAGUGUGUUUCGACACACUAUCAUUAACUGAAUCCAUAGGUUAAUGAGGCGAACCGGGGGAACUGAAACAUCUAAGUACCCCGAGGAAAAGAAAUCAACCGAGAUUCCCCCAGUAGCGGCGAGCGAACGGGGAGCAGCCCAGAGCCUGAAUCAGUGUGUGUGUUAGUGGAAGCGUCUGGAAAGGCGCGCGAUACAGGGUGACAGCCCCGUACACAAAAAUGCACAUGCUGUGAGCUCGAUGAGUAGGGCGGGACACGUGGUAUCCUGUCUGAAUAUGGGGGGACCAUCCUCCAAGGCUAAAUACUCCUGACUGACCGAUAGUGAACCAGUACCGUGAGGGAAAGGCGAAAAGAACCCCGGCGAGGGGAGUGAAAAAGAACCUGAAACCGUGUACGUACAAGCAGUGGGAGCACGCUUAGGCGUGUGACUGCGUACCUUUUGUAUAAUGGGUCAGCGACUUAUAUUCUGUAGCAAGGUUAACCGAAUAGGGGAGCCGAAGGGAAACCGAGUCUUAACUGGGCGUUAAGUUGCAGGGUAUAGACCCGAAACCCGGUGAUCUAGCCAUGGGCAGGUUGAAGGUUGGGUAACACUAACUGGAGGACCGAACCGACUAAUGUUGAAAAAUUAGCGGAUGACUUGUGGCUGGGGGUGAAAGGCCAAUCAAACCGGGAGAUAGCUGGUUCUCCCCGAAAGCUAUUUAGGUAGCGCCUCGUGAAUUCAUCUCCGGGGGUAGAGCACUGUUUCGGCAAGGGGGUCAUCCCGACUUACCAACCCGAUGCAAACUGCGAAUACCGGAGAAUGUUAUCACGGGAGACACACGGCGGGUGCUAACGUCCGUCGUGAAGAGGGAAACAACCCAGACCGCCAGCUAAGGUCCCAAAGUCAUGGUUAAGUGGGAAACGAUGUGGGAAGGCCCAGACAGCCAGGAUGUUGGCUUAGAAGCAGCCAUCAUUUAAAGAAAGCGUAAUAGCUCACUGGUCGAGUCGGCCUGCGCGGAAGAUGUAACGGGGCUAAACCAUGCACCGAAGCUGCGGCAGCGAC
This 1136-nucleotide ribosomal RNA is filed under the name Escherichia coli. RNAcentral's name for it is "partial 23S ribosomal RNA". It matches the Rfam family "Bacterial large subunit ribosomal RNA", at positions 35 to 1212 of the family's 2925-position model. The record is from RNAcentral. Lineage: Bacteria; Pseudomonadati; Pseudomonadota; Gammaproteobacteria; Enterobacterales; Enterobacteriaceae.